GAAUGUCAAAGUCUUUGUCUAGCCUGACUUGGGAUAGCUUCUGGGCAACUGCAGGUUAGGAAGUUCAACAUCUGAUAGGAAUUCAGUGCAGAAAAAUGUAGUUUAGAAAUUGUUUUGAUUCCGUAUCUACAUUCCAUAAGAGAAGAUGCAUCAUGCUAAAAGCUUGGUUUGGUGUGUGCCUAGAGUAGCAUGAGACUCUAAUGUUCUCUGAACAUAUUCAGAGUUUAACUAAUUCAGUGCAAUUUUUGCUUAUGAAAAACUGAUAUUUUUCAGCAUGUAUUGAUCCAUUUCAACUGUGGGUGUGGUUAAAAAAAUGGUUUAACAUGUACUGAAAAUGCCUUCAAAAACGAAGAGUAAAUAGCAUCAGUGAGUUCUAGUACCAAAUUACAAAUGUUCACUGACAAAAAAAUAUCAGUACAAUAUAGUGCUUCAACUAGAAGAUCACUCAUGCUAUUCGCUUCAUGGUUUCUUUGUCGUUUCAACUUUUAUUUUAAUCUUUUCGUUUGUGAAUUCUGCAUCUUUUUAUGUUUACAAAUUAUAGGCACGAUACUUGUACUGGGACUAGAGUACAAGUAUUACUUCCAGGCAAGUUCAAAAUAAAACCCGCAACAAGUUCUUUUUCCAUUUGGGAACCCUCCGCUGCUGUUCUUUGCUUCACCAUGUGGCAAAUAAAUUGUUGCUGCAGUUCAACAAUCAGUUUGCCUAUAAGCAGAGCAACAGAGUGGCAUCCUCGCUGCGUGCCUCUGCCUUGGAGGAUGUAGUAGUGGGGCUGAACUACCCGUUCGGAAUAAUUCUAACGUUUUUUGUGUUCAUUGGAUUUCCGGAUUGUUAGCGCAAGUAAUGCGUUCUGUUUUUGCCUGUUCAGUCCAAGUGGGAGAGCAAAAGUAAGCACUGUCUGCUUAGAAGUUGUGUUUGAAACCCAUUUUUAAUAGUUAAACAAGUAAAUCACUGUGGUAAUGCUUUAUUGUUAUAGUUCUUAAGUGACUGAAAUUUUGACCAUGUGUUUAGAGUUAAGCAACUACAUAAGUUGCAUGAUGUAUUGAUCUACUUGUCAUGCUGAAGUUCAUUGGCUUCUUAAAAUUUCAGAUAUAAACAAGCUGGUGGCCGCCCAUCUCUGCAUGUAUUUUAUUUGGGAUGUAAGUCUCUCUAUAGAUCAUGUUAUGAGUAAUGCAAUUGGACGAAGUUGCUAGGAAGAUAUUUAGUUCACCUUUAAUGUGAUUUGCACUUCAUCUUUAUAGAGCCAAAUCCUGGCGCGCCCAGCCACUGCUCGUGAACCCCGCCUCCAUCAGCUCCACUUCACCAGAGCCGUCAGUCCACAGGAGUAGGGGUAGCGAAUCCCCUAUAGUGGCCAAAUCCCGGUGCUCCAAGCCGCUGCUCGUGAACCACGCCUCCAUCAGCUCCACUACACUGGAGCCGUCAGUCCGCAUGAGUAGGGGUAGCAGGUUCACCCGAUGUCUGACGCCUUCUUCCAUCUCCAAAAAUCUUGUUUUUUGAGUUCAGUUCUUCGUCACAUGUUUCACUAACUUACAAACACCUGAACCGGAACUCAAUCUCGUGUGUUACCGUCCUCUCAUCUGGUCUAUUUUAUUCUCAGGGACGCAUUCAUGGCUUCAUUCAACAAGUGGAAUGUGGGCAGAUGUUGAUCAACAAGUCUGCGGUAUUAAGGUUAGCUGCUAGUACAUAUUAUGGAGUUGGGGACAUGAGGGAGCGAGUGGUACAUGGAUCGGUGGGUGUAGUCUUUGUAGGUUGAGUAGAUUCUUAUUGAAACAACUCUUGUACAACUCUUUCUAUCUCACUCAUAUUUCUAGUUUUUGCAUGGGGCAUCUUCUAGCAUAUGAUUGAAACCCAUUUCCUGUUGUAUUAUGCAUUUAAAAACUCAUAAGUAGUUAAGAGUUCAUUUGUGGUGGCUAGCAAUUCAAUAGCUAGAAAAAGGAUACAUCAGUUCAAAUAUGCUUGCCAUAAGUAUUUAAGAGUUUAUUUGCGGUGGUUAAAAAUGAAGGUACUUUGUUCCAAGGACAAGAACAACUAGAAGUUCAAAUGUUGAUGUGUUAAAAAAACUCCAGCUACUUUGUUUAAGCUUUUGAUGUCUUAAUUUCUGCACUUCUAUAUAGAAUUUGGUGGCUCACUUUUGCUAAUUUUCUGCAGUUCUCAGGUUAGAAAACGAUCAGUUCCAUGUGUAUUUAACAGCAGGUCCAUGUAUAUUUAACAGCAAGUCCAUGAAUUACUACAUGAGCAGUACUGCUAGUGAGACUUCACUACUCCAUUCCAACAAACGUGUAUACGCAAUCCUGGGUUGACAAAGUACUCUGCUACUGCUAGUUUCAGUUCCCUCACUGGAUUUGCAGGCUCACGACCAUCCUCUAACACCCCGUUAGUGCCACCGAUUUGAAGGAGCUCCAUGACUAGUAUCUCUGAGUUCUAAUGCUCCUAACGAUCGUUUGGAAUCUUAUCUUCAAUAUCUUGCUGAUAUGGAACAGUACAAUGUUGCAAUAUAUACUUGUACAAUUAUUUUUAGUACUGAUGACUAGUACUUGCCUCGACAGUACUACGGCAUGCUUCGCUGCCGGUUGCGAGGAUGUGCAACAUAUGUUUAAGCAAGCAUUUAUGUUGUAUUACAAACAAAAAUCUUUCCUCUGUUCCAUAGAAGAUUGUGUGACUUUUUUAAAUACAUUUUAGAAAAGAAGUGUACAGACUUUAGCUUAGCAUUUGAUAAUUGUUUGCAACAUGUACAACCCGUGGAUGAUUAUGUAAUUGUUUUAAUGUGUUACCAUAUGUCCAACAGUUCAAUAUGUAUUUUAUAAUCAGUUUAAAGGGCAUAUUAAAUUCGGUAUGGAUUGUUGCAUCAAUGAUUACUAUCACAAAACACAAAAACAUUUCUUGGAGAAGAAAAUUCAGCCAAUUCAAGUAUAUAAACCAUGCAAGUUUAGUGAUGAUGACACGUCGAAACACAUUUUAAACUAAACCUAAAAGUUACAUUUCUACAAGUUCAAGUGAUCAACCCACUGAACAUUCUGGAUUGUGAAAAAUAGCUCAAUACAAACACACACAUAUAUCAGUACAAGUGAUUUGUUUAUCAGACCGGAAAACAAUAGGAUGUGUCUUGCCAUAUUGAAAACUUUUUAAAUAAAUACAAAGUAAAGUCUAGUAUGUGGAAACAUGCUCAGUACAAAAUCAUAUAGACAUCCGUUCAAGUACUUUUUUGGAACCAUUCAAAACUAUUGUGAAAAACACCUCAGUACAAACACAUAAAUAUAUCAGUACGAGUACUAUGUUUUUUUGAAGAAAAAACACCAUGGUGGGUCUCACCGUAAUCCAAAUUACUCUUCAACGGCUGCAAAUAUGAGAAAACUUUCAACAUGACUAAGUUUCGCAUUUUUGAUAGCUAUCCAACGGUAUAUUAUUUGCCCCAUUUCGACAAACUUUUAAAAAAAUCAUGUUCAAAAUCAAAUUUGACCGUAUUCGAAUUCGUUUUUAAAACAUAAGGAAUUAGAAAAACAUUUCAAUACGAUAAAAUUGCGCAUUUUCCGUAGCUUUCCAACGCCGUAUCAUUUGCGUCAAUCCGGCAAAGCGUUUGCAAAAAAUCGCGAAAAUAUGUUUCGCCCAAAAUUUCACCGUUUUUCAAAUUACUUUUAAAUCAUAUAUAAUUAGAAAAAACAAUACAUAUAUGGAAGAUGUGGAUUCUCACCAGCUUUCCAACGCCAUCUUAUUUGCUCAAUUCCGACAAACCGUUUGAAAAUUGAGUCCAAAAUACAAUUCACGUUUUCGGUUUUGAAAAAAAUGGUUUUUUCAAAACUGCUCUUAAACCAUAAUGAUUUUGCAAAAACAUUCAAUAUAAUUGAAAUAUGGUUGUCAAGAGCUUUCCAACGAUAUAUUACACGCCUCGUUCUGGAAAAAAAAUUACAAAAAGUUUUUGAACUAAAGAAGACAAUGUGUUAAACAGAACUGAAAGCAUCAGUUCAACCACUUCGAAAACAUCAGUAUAACCACCUGAAACCGUCAGUUCAAAAAGGGUAACAGAAUAAUAUUCUGUUAUCCGUAACAGAAUAGCCCUGAUGUAUAUAUAUAUAUAUAUAUAUAUAGACACACACACACACACAUAUAUAUAAUAUACAUAUACAUAUAUAACUAUAAUUUUUUGCUACCUCCUGGUUUCCUGACAUCACGGUCCCACACCAUUGUCAACCUAUAUAGUCAAUAAAUGAGAGAAUUGCACAAGAAGCGGCCCACAGCUCGGACCAAGCAGCUCGAGCAGUAUUUGUGCUUUUGUGGUGUGAGCACUGCAGAGGUUUUUUAUGUUUAGCUCAGAUAUUAAUUUUUCUCCUCUGAACAACAAUGAAAACAUUGCUACAGGUAUUAACUGGGCGGGCUGUGGCCCAUCUAGCCUAGGCCAGAUAUCCAGCUCAGAUAUUAUUAGUUUUCAAGCUGAAAAUGGCUAGCCCAGCUAUACUUUUUUUUAGGAAUACUCAGGCAAGGUCAAGUUGUUAUUCUCCGCCCCGCUCGGCUGCCCGUCUAGCCCAGGCCAGAUAUCCAGCUCACGCCAGAUAUCCAGCUCAGAUAUUGUUAUCUGGCCCGUCUAGCCCAGGCCAGAUAUCCAGCUCAGAUAUUAUUAUUUUUCAAGCUGAAAUUGGCUAGCCCAGCUAUACUUUUUUUUAGGAAUACUCAGGCAAGGUCAAGUUGUUAUUCUCCACCCCGCUCGGCUGCAAAUCUUUCCUAGGAGGGAUGCAUUAGGCUUAACAAGAAAAAUGGGUUUUAAGAAAUAAUAAAUGGGAUGUAAUUAUAAAAACUGGGCAGUAACUAUAAAAAAAUGCACCAAACACGUAAUUACUUUAUAAAUAUUAUUUUUGGAUAUUGAAAUUUUUAAUUUCAUUAAUAGUUGUGAGCGCAAUGUUUCACUGGAUUUUUACGUAAUAUAAAUUUAUAUUGAAAUUGUAUUUAAUCUGACUAGAAAUUUUGGGAUAAAAAUAUUUCGGAUCCCAUCAAAAUGUGGGAAAUUUUAUUGAAUUCUAUUUUGGAUGGUUGGUUGAAAUGGGCUAUACUUUAAACAAAGUGUAAAUGGGCUGUAGUAAAUUCCAUUAGAAUUCAAAAAUGGGCUGCACAUUCUUACAAAUCUCAAAUGGGAUAUAAGUUCUCUGCCAUACACUUGUGGCCUUACUAAGUUGACGCGUCCCUAAAAAAAGAGAGUUGACGCGUAUGCAAGGCUUUGUGAACUUAUAGUCAACACACUGUUCUAACAGCAGUGGUCGUUGGAUGUCCAUCCAACGGAUGCCGUGCUUUUUCUUCAAUCUUGGAUAUUCUAGCUUCACCCGCCCCAAAAAUGAUUCCUCCCCCUGACAUCUGGGGCGCACCGUUUCGAAAACUGACAUGUGGGCCUACUAAGUUGACGUACCAAGGGCUUUGUCAACUUAGCAAUAUAAAUGAUUCUAGCUGCAAUGACCGUACGAUGUCCAACCAACGACCGUCGUGCUUCUUCAACCUCUGGUCUUCUUGCUCCAGCCGCCCAAAGCAGCGCCGGUCGUGCCGCCUGCUCCUGCCUCCCGUGGCCGGCUGUGCUGCCGUAGAGGAAUCACCGCCCCCUACUACUCCCACCGCUGGCGAGGCCAUCCCUCCACUCACCCACACCCCCUGUUAUUCUACGGCGACGGCAGCCUCACACCGCAGCCGAACCAGUGAACCCUCAUACUCAUCUCUGCAUGGGCAUCCACUGCCGCAUCUUCCCAGUCUCCGCGUCGUCCCCUUCCUAGGCCUCACCGUCGUCCACCGCCAUGGUGCUUUCGGCGCGGCGUGGUCAACAUGGUCAAGGAACGACUUCCAUCGGACGUGGAUUGUACAUGGAGAGGCUGACAGUUGGGUCCACGACCGCAGCAUGGAAGUGCCUCCUUAUUACGCGGAAAAUAAUGAUUCCUCCACCUGACAGCUGGGACCCAUCGGACGGGCCACUGUAUUUCGCGAAAAAACAUUUCCCCCUGACUGCAGGGUCCCACCAGCUACAUCUUCGCACGCAAGGAAGUGCGUCCGAAAAAAAAUCGAUUCGCCCCCCUGACUUCUGGGAACCACCAGCAACACCUUGGCACGCAAGGAAGUGCGUCCGGGCAAAAAAAACGAUUCACCCCCUGACUGCUAGGACCCACCAACUACAUCUUCGCACGCAAGGAAGUGCCUGACAGUCGGGACCCACCUGGUCGAAGCAUACAUAGCGUUGUCAUUCUGGUCGCGAACGUGUACGUACAUACUAGUGGAUGUAGAGGCGUGCACGUGUCGUAGUAGAGGCGCGCAUGUAGCAUGUACACGUACGUACAGCGUCCAGUGUGCAAGAAAGAAAAUACGACCACGCAUGUGUACAUACGGGCGGGGUCUCGAACGCCUACUCGCACAUACGUACGGCCAGGGCUCGUUUACAUGGCUGGGUCGGAACGGAGAAACAGCAUCGUCGUCAUGUUCAUGGGGAGCCAGCCGGCUGGGUCAGAAUGGAAUGCGUCGUCGUGUUCAUUGGGAGGGCUUGGACGGAAUAGACGAUGGAAAUGAGGCCUGGCGUACCACAGAACGGAGGAAACGGCCUUGUGUUCGACCUGCCACAUUCGAAACGGGAUCCUGUUCAUCGGGAGGGGUCUGGUGUACCGCAAAACAUAGGAAACAGACCUCCUACGGUCAAAAUGGGGGUCCUGUUGAUCGGGAGGGGUGUGGCGUACCGCAAAACGGACGAAACUGACUUGUGUUGGAGCGCUACGGUCGAAAUGGGGGUCCUGUUCAUCGGGAGGUGGUUGGCGUACCACAAAACAGGACUCCACGUGAUACUGUUCAUCUCCACCGUCAAUCUCCUCCAGCCUCCACGGGCUACCGUCGACCUCCUCCAGCCUCCAUGGGCUCCUGUUCAUCCAGCCUCCACCGCGUGCUACUCCACCAGCUAUUGUUCAACCACCCCUCCACGGGCACCCCUCCACCGUCUACUGUUCAUCCAGCCCUCCACGGGGUCGUCCUGUUCAUCCAGCCGUCCACGGAGUCCUGUUCAUCUAGGCCCAACUGGCUCGAUCGAUCGGCUUCAGUUAGCAGCAGUAGCGAAGGAAUCGCUCGAUCGGGUUCAGUUAACAGCCAUAGAUCAAUUGCUCGGGUUCAGUAACGCGUAGCCUGCAGUGCAAUCGCUCGGGUUUAGUUAGACCCCAACGCCUCGCUCAGGUUCAGAUAGAGCCAAUGCCUCUCACACACGCGCGUACGUGUACGAGAGAAACACGCAUCGCUCGGCCCCCAACCUCCCACCGUAACCGGGAACUCGCCAAAAUUUUCCUCGCCCUCGCUUCUACCAUGGUUUUUUCUGUCAUGGACGUCCCAAAGAAUGUCAUGCGGCUGCGUCUCCGGCCCGCCCAGGACGAAAAGCCCAUUUUUUGUCAUGAUUUUUUGUCAUAGAAGUAGGAGCCCACCACAUCUAUGAUGAUAUUGGGUUUUGUCACAAUUAUCAUCAUAGAAGUGUCAUAAGUAUGACAAAAAAAUUCGUUCGGCCCAAAAUGUCACAGAUGUGUCUUUUUUUGUAGUGUGCGUGGCCUCGAGCCUGGGGAGGGUUGUGUUCACCUCGCGAGCAAACUGCUUGAAGAUACGCUGAGAGGCUGGGGCCUGAGCUCCGCCCAAGAUGCAAGUGAUAGCAUGCGGCUCCUCGAAGCCCCCAGCCCUCUCAUCCUGAUGAUGGUCGUCAUUCCUUCUUUGCAGCGGUGGCAGUGGAGGAAGGCCUGUAUUGCCCUGGGGGCGGUCCUCACGAGGUUGAUCCCUCUAGGCGCCCUUGCAAGGCUGGUCCUGCCACCGAUCCUCACGAGGUCAGCCACGCCACCCCUGGCGAGGGCCACGGUCGUCCCAUCGUCCUCCACCAUGUCCUCCUCCUCGGCCGUAGCCUCGGUCGUUGCGCUCGGGGUGUCGACUGAAGCGUCCUUCUCGAAUGGCCCUAAGCUCCUGGCAAUCGUUGGUGUCGUGGGUGUGGAGGUUGUGGUAGGCCCAGAACGGUCAGCUACCCUUGGAUGACUCUAGCUGGUCCCUGCCGCGCUUCGUGUCUGGUUCCGCCGCGAGCAUGACCACUCCCUUGCACUUCACGUCCUUAGCAUUGGUCUUCUUUUCUUCCGUGUCGGCAGCUGGGAGCUCGAGGAGGGAGAGGCGUCCCUCUUCAGCUCUUGAGCACUUGGUCGCCAGGUUGAACAGCUCCAGGGAUGUGCACAACUCCUCGUGGAUGGCAAGCUCCUCCUUCAUCUUGACAUCACGCACGCCAUCAGAGAAUGCUGAGAUGAUGGCCUCGUCCAUCACCUUGGGGAUCUUGAGGUGGACGCUGUUGAAGCGCUGGAUGUAUUUCUGCAGGGUCUCCCCGGGCUGCUGCCUGAUACGGCGCAGGUCACCCACGGCUGGGGGGCGAUCGCGAGUGCCCUGGAAGAUGGCGAUGAAGCGGCUGCGCAUCUCGUCCCAGGAGGAGAUCGAGUCGGGAGGUAGGUUUAGGAGCCACGAGCGGGCAUCAUCCUUGAGUGCCAUGGGAAACCAAUUCACCGUGAAUUUCUCGUCGCUGUUGGCCACCUCGAUGCUCAGCUCGUACAGCUGCAAGAACUCCACAGGGUCAAGGGUGCCGUCAUAGCGAGGAGGUAGGUCCGGUUUGAACUUGCAUGGCCAGGCGACGCUACGCAGCUCGGGGGUGAAGGCGCGGUAGCCUGCUGUGGUCACCGGGGCCCUUUGCUGACGCAGAGCUUGCUCUUGAUGGUACCCGCGCACCGCUGCCAUAGGCAGUACACGGUCUUGUCGUGUCGGUGCAGGGAGCACAGGGGUGCCUUCUUGAGGCCAAGGGAUUUCUUGACAGCUUCCUUCUUCUCGCACGGGCGCCGGACGUGGUGGGUCACGCCCAGGGGCCACGCGCCUUGGCGCCAGGGCGCCGUCUUGGGGCAGAGGUGGUGGAGGCGCUCCAUGAGCCACAUCACCCGUACCUAGCGGAGGGCGAGGAACCGAGAGGGACGGUGCGGAAGAGCCCCCUGCGGCGCUGACAAGCUCGGUGAUGCGAGUGAGCCAUUCCUUGUAGAGGUCGUUGACGAGGCGGUAACGCAGGAGCUCGCGCGCCAUAAGCAGCGCGACCUGCGCUUCCGUGGGAGCGCGACGAGCGUGGGACGACGAGCCGGCUGGGGUCAGCGACGGAGUGGUGAUGCGGCUGUCUCACUGCACCGAGGGGUGCAGCGAGGAUGCUUGCUGCUUGUUCCCCGCCGGGUCGGUGGCGGCAUUAGCGGCAGGCAACAGAGAACGACGGGGAGGUCCGCCGACAGGAGCCGUCUGGGUGACGCGUGCGGUGAGAGCAGUCUGGCGCUCAGCGCGGGCUCGGCGGGCGUCAGACAUGGAUGCGACAAAGCGAUGGGAUGCGGAUCAGCAGAAGGAAGACUUCGGUGCACCCCUACCUGGCACGCCAAAUGUCGGAUUUAGGGUUCCGGCAAAACCCUUGAGGUUCAAACACUGGGGUGCACACGAAGAUUUCCCCCUACCGAAUCACGCCCUCAGCCUCGCCGCGAUCUCUAAGCUUAGCUCGAUGAACUCACAACACAAGAGACACAAGGUUUAUACUGGUUCGGGCCACCAUUGUGGUGUAAUACCCUACUCUAGUGCGAUGGUGGUGGAUUGCCUCUUGGGCUGAUGAUGAACAGUACAAGGAAAGAACAGUCUCCUGAGGAGAGGUGUUCUUGUGCUUGGUGGGUGCGAGGAUGAACUGAGUCCGUUUCAGAUCCGUUCUAUUGUGGUGGCUAGUCCUGUUUAUAGAGGCUCUGGUCCUCUCCACAAAUAUUGAGCGGGAAGGGAUCCAACAAUGGCCAAUUUGAAAGGGGACAGCUAGUACAAGCUAUCCUGACUAAAGGUGGUCUUCGCCUGUCAAAGGUGCUGGUGGUGACGCCGUCUUGGGCUCCACGAUGACCUCCGUCCUGCCGUCCUGCUGGCCUUGGUCUUGUUGCACCGAUAUGGAAACCUUUGCCUGAUGCCUCGGUACUCCGCGGCUGCACUUGCCCCCCUUAGCACCAAAGGGGAAACGAGGACACUACGUGCUGGCGCCCGCCUGGCGCCCGCCUGGCCUUGGUCGUCAUGGCUUGCGUCACGGGAACCUCACGAGGUACCCCUUGCCUUGAUCCCUUCGCCCCCUCGCGAGCCUGCCUGGUGAGGCCGCUCCUGAGGAGGCCUUGUGUCGUCCGCCUCACGUGGCUUGGCCCCUCGCGAGGGUCUUGAGUGCUGGCUGACGAAGACGGGCUGUACUGGGCCACUGGUGGAGCCACGCCGUGGGUCGCAGGCAAGCAAGUCUGGGGACCCCCGUUCCCAGAAUGCCGACAGAUUGGUCAAUCGUGAAGACGUACGACUACAUCAACUGCGUUUUCAUAAUGCUUCCGCUUACGGUCUACGAGGGUACGUGGACGACACUCUCCCCUCUUGUUGCUAUGCAUCACCAUGAUCUUGUGUGUGCGUAGGAAUUUUUUUGAAAUUACUACGUUCCCCAACAGUGGCAUCCGAGCCAGGUUUAUGCGUAGAUGUUAUAUGCACGAGUAGAACACAAGUGAGUUGUGGGCGAUACUAGUCAUACUGCAUACCAGCAAGUCAUACUUUGAUUCGGCCGUAUUGUUGGAUGAAACGGCCCGGAUGGACAUUACGCGUACGCUUAUGCGAGACUGCUUCUACCAACGUGCUUCGCACACAGGUGGCUGGCGGGUGUCAGUUUCUCUAACUUUAGUUGAAUCGAGUGUGGCUACACCCGGUCCUUGUGAAGGUUAAAAUAGCACAUACUUGACAACAUAUCGUUGUGGUUUUGAUGCCUAGGUAAGAACGGUUCUUGCUCAGCCCAUAGCAGCUACGUAAAACUUGCGACAACAAAGUUGAGGACGUCUAACUUGUUUUUGCAGGGCAUGUUGUGAUGUGAUAUGGUCAAGACAUGAUGCUAAAUUUUAUUGUAUGAGAUGAUCAUGUUUUGUAACGAAGUUAUCGACAACUGGUAGGAGCCAUAUGGUUGUCGCUUUAUUCAAUGAAAUGCAAUCGCCAUGUAAUUGCUUUACUUUAUCACUAAGCGGUAGCGAUAGUCGUAGAAGCAAUAGUUGGCGAGGUGACAACUAUGCUACGAUGGAGAUCAAGGUGUCGCGCCGGUGACGAUGGUGAUCAUGACGGUGCUUUGGAGAUGGAGAUCAAAGGCACAAGAUGAUGACGGCCAUAUCAUAUCACUUAUAUUGAUUGCGUGUGAUAUUUAUCUUUUAUGCAUCUUAUUUUGCUUAGUCCGACGGUAGCAUUAUAAGACGAUCUCUCACUAAAUUUCAAGGUACAAGUGUUCUCCCUGAGUAUGCACCGUUGUGAAAGUUCGUCGUGCCGAGACACCACAUGAUGAUCGGGUGUGAUAAGCUCUACGUUCACAUACAACGGGUGCAAGCCAGUUUUGCACACUCAGAAUACUCGGGUUAAACUUGACGAGCAAGGCAUAUGCAGAUAUGGCCUCAGAACACUGAGACCGAAAGUUCGAGCGUGAAUCCUAUAGUAGAUAUGAUCAACAUAGUGACGUUCACCAUUGAAAACUACUCCAUCUCACGUGAUGAUCGGACAUGGUUUAGUUGAUAUGGAUCACGUGAUCACUUAGAUGAUUAGAGGGAUGUCUAUCUAAGUGGGAGUUCUUUAGUAAUAUGAUUAAUUGAACUUUAAUUUAUCAUGAACUUAGUACCUUAUAGUAUUUUGCAUGGCUAUGUUAUUGUAGAUAUAUGGCCCGCGCUAUUGUUCCGUUGAAUUUUAAUGCGUUCCUAGAGAAAGCUAAGUUGAAAGAUGAUGGUAGCAACUACAAGGACUGGGUCCGUAACUUGAGGAUUAUCCUCAUUGCUGCAUAGAAGAAUUACUCCUGGAAGCACUGCUAGGUGCCAAACCCGCUGCAGGAGCAACACCAGAUGUUAUGAACGUCUGGCAGAGCAAAGCUGAUGACUACUUGAUAGUUCAGUGUGCCAUGCUUUACGGCUUAGAACCGGGACUUCAACGACGUUUUGUACGUCAUGGAGCAUAUGAGAUGUUCCAGGAGUUGAAGUUAAUAUUUCAAGCAAAUGCCCGAAUUGAGAGAUAUGAAGUCUCCAAUAAGUUCUACAGCUGCAAGAUGGAGGAGAAUAGUUCAGUCAGUGAGCAUAUACUCAAAAUGUCUGGGUAUAACAAUCACUUGAUUCAACUGGGAGUUAAUCUUCCGGAUGAUAGUGUCAUUGACAGAAUUCUUCAAUCACUACCACCAAGCUACAAGAGCUUCGUGAUGAACUAUAACAUGCAAGGGAUGGAUAAGACAAUUCCCGAGCUCUUCACAAUGCUAAAGGCUGCGGAGGUAGAAAUCAAGAAAGAGCAUCAAGUGUUGAUGGUCAAAAAGACCACCAAUUUCAAGAAAAAGGGUAAAGGGAAGAAGGGGAACUUCAAGAAGAACGACAAGCAAGUUGCUGCUCAAGUGAAGAAGCCCAACUCUGGACCUAAGCCUGAGACUGAGUGCUUCUACUGCAAAGGGACUAGUCACUGGAAGCAGAACUGGCCCGAGUAUUUGGCGGAUAAGAAGGAUGGCAAAGUGAACAAAGGUAUAUGUGAUAUACAUGUUAUUGAUGUGUACCUUACUAAUGCUCGCAGUAGCACCUGGGUAUUUGAUAUUGGUUCUGUUGCUAAUAUUUGCAACUCGAAAUAGGGACUAUGGGUUAAGCAAAGAUUGGCUAAGGACAAGGUGACGAUGCGCGUGGGAAAUGGUUCCAAAGUCGAUGUGAUCGCAGUCGGCACACUACCUCUACAUCUACCUUCAGGAUUAGUUUUAGACCUGAAUAAUUGUUCUUUGGUGCCAGCGUUGAGCAUGAACAUUAUAUCUGGAUCUUGUUUGAUGCGAGACGGUUAUUCAUUUAAAUCUGAGAAUAAUGAUUGUUCUAUUUAUAUGAGUAAUAUCUUUUAUGGUCAUGCACCCCUGAAGAGUGGUCUAUUUUUAUUGAAUCUCGAUAGUAGUGAUACACAUAUUCAUAAUAUUGAAGCCAAAAGAUGCAGAGUUGAUAAUGAUAGUGCAAAUUAUUUGUGGCACUGCCGUUUGGGUCAUAUUGGUGUAAAGCGCAUGAAGAAACUCCAUUCUGAUGGACUUUUGGAAUCACUUGAUUAUGAAUCACUUGGUACUUGCGAACCAUGCCUCAUGGGCAAGAUGACUAAAACUCCGUUCUCCGGAACAAUGGAGCGAGCAAAAGAUUUGUUGGAAAUCAUACAUACUGAUGUAUGUGGUCCGAUGAAUGUUGAGGCUCGCGGUGGGUAUCGUUAUUUUCUCACCUUCACAGAUGAUUUAAGCGGAUAUGGGUAUAUCUACUUAAUGAUACAUAAGUCUGAAACAUUUGAAAAGUUUAAAGAAUUUCAGAGUGAAGUGGAAAAUCAUCGUAACAAGAAAAUAAAGUUUCUAAAAUCUGAUCAUGGAGGGGAAUAUUUGAGUUACGAGUUUGGUCUUCAUUUGAAACAAUGUGGAAUAGUUUCGCAACUAACACCACCCGGAACACCACAGCGUAAUGGUGUGUCCGAACGUCGUAAUCGUACUUUACUAGAUAUGGUGCGAUCUAUGAUGUCUCUUACUGAUUUACCGCUAUCAUUUUGGGGUUAUGCUUUAGAGACGGUUGCAUUCAUGUUAAAUAGGGCACCAUCUAAGUCUGUUGAGAUGACACCUUAUGAACUGUGGUUUGGCAAGAAAUCAAAGUUGUCGUUUCUUAAAGUUUGGGGCUGCAAUGCUUAUGUGAAAAGCUUCACCCUGAUAAGCUCGAACCCAAAUCGAAGAAAUGUGUCUUCAUAGGAUACCCAAAGGAAAUUGUUGGGUACACCUUCUAUCACAGAUCCAAAGGCAAGACAUUCGUUACUAAGAAUGGAUCCUUUCUAUAGAAGGAGUUUCUCUCGAAAGAAGUGAGUGGGAGGAAAGUAGAACUUGAUGAGGUAACUGUACCUGCUCCCUUAUUGGAAAGUCGUUCAUCAUAGAAAUCGGUUCCUAUGACUCCUACACGAAUUAGUGAGGAAGCUAAUGAUGAUGAUCAUGUAACUUCAGAUCAAGUUACUACAGAACCUCGUAGGUCAACCAGAGUAAGAUCCGCACCAGAGUGGCACGGUAAUCCUGUUCUGGAGGUCAUAUUACUUGACCAUGACGAACCUACGAACUAUGAGGAAGCGAUGAUGAGCCUAGAUUCCGGGAAAUGGCUUGAGGCCAUGAAAUCUGAGAUAGGAUCCAUGUAUGAGAACAAAGUGUGGAAUUUGGUUGACUUGCCCGGUGAUCGGUUAGCCAUCGAGAAUAAAUGGAUCUUCAAGAAGAAGACUGACGCUGACAGUAAAGUUACUAUCUGCAAAGCUUGACUUGUUGCAAAAGGUUUUUGACAAGUUCAAGGAGGUGACUAUGAUGAGACCUUCUCGCCUGUAGUGAUGCUUAAGUCCGUCUGAAUCAUGUUAGCAAUUGCCGCAUUUUAUGAUUAUGAAAUUUGGCAAAUGGAUGUAAAGACUGCAUUCCUGAAUGGAUUUCUGGAAGAAGAGUUGUAUAUGAUGCAACCGGAAGGUUUUAUCGAUCCAAAUGAUGCUAACAAAGUGUGCAAACUCUAGCGAUCCAUUUAUGGACUUGUGCAAGCAUCUCGGAGUUGGAAUAAAUGUUUUGAUAGUGUGAUCAAAGCAUAUGGUUUUAUACAAACAUUUGGAGAGGCCUGUAUUUACAAGAAAGUGAGUGGGAGCUCUAUAGAAUUUCUAAUAUUAUAUGUGGAUGACAUAUUGUUGAUUGGAAAUGAUAUAGAAUUCCUCGAUAGCAUAAAAGGAUAUUUGAAUAAAAAAAUUCAAUGAAAGACCUCGGUGAAGCUGCUUAUAUAUUGGGUAUCAAGAUCUAUAGAGAUAGAUCAAGACACUUAAUUGGACUUUCACAAAGCACAUACCUUGAUAAAAAUUUGAAGAAGUUCAAAAUGGAUCAAGCAAAGAAAGGGUUCUUGCCUGUGUUACAAGGUGUGAAGUUGAGUCAGACUCAAUGCCUGACCACUGCAGAAGAUAGAGAGAAAAUGAAAGGUGUUCCCUAUGCUUCAGCCAUAGGCUCUAUCAUGUAUGCAAUGUUGUGUACCAGACCUGAUGUGUACCUUGCUAUAAGUCUAGCAGGUAGGUACCAAAGUAAUCCAGGAGUGGAUCACUGGACAACGGUCAAGAACAUCCUGAAAUACCUGAAAAGGACUAAGGAUAUGUUUCUCAUUUAUGAGGGUGACAAAGAGCUCGUCGUAAAUGGUUACAUUGUUGCAAGCUUUGACACUGAUCCAGAUGACUCUAAGUCACAAACCGGAUACGUGUUUAUAUUGAACGAUGGAGCUGUCAGUUGGUGCAGUUCUAAGCAAAGUGUCGUGGUAGGAUCUACAUGUGAAGCGGAGUACAUAGCUGCUUCGGAAACAGCAAAUGAAGGAGUCUGGAUGAAGGAAUUCAUAUCCGAUCUAGGUGUCAUACCUAGUGCAUCGGGUCCAAUGAAAAUCUUUUGUGACAAUACUGGUGCAAUUGCCUUAGCAAAGGAAUCCAGAUUUCACAAGAGAACCAAGCACAUCAAGAGACGCUUCAAUUCCAUCUGCGAUCAAGUCAAUGAGGGAGACAUAGAGAUUUGCAAGAUACAUACGGAUCUAAAUGUUGCAGACCCAUUAACUAAGCCUCUCUCACGAGCAAAACAUGAUCAACACCAAGACUCCAUGGGUGUUCGAAUCAUUACUGUGUAAUCUAGAUUAUUGACUCUAGUGCAAGUGGGAGACUAAAGGAAAUAUGCCAUAGAGGCAAUAAUAAAGUUGUUAUUUAUAUUUCCUUAUAUCAUGAUAAAUGUUUAUUAUUCAUGCUAGAAUUGUAUUAACUGGAAACUUAGUACAUUUGUGAAUACAUAGACAAACAGAGUGUCACUAGUAUGCCUCUACUUGACUAGCUCGUUGAAUCAAAGAUGGUUAAGUUUCCUAGCCAUACACAUGAGUUGUCAUUUGAUUAAAGGGAUCACAUCAUUAGAGAAUGAUGUGAUUGACUUGACCCAUUCCAUUGGCUUAGCACUUGAUCGUUUAGUAUAUUGCUAUUGCUUUCUUCAUGACUUAUACAUGUUACUAUGACUAUGAGAUUAUGCAACUCCCGAAUACCAGAGGAACACUUUGUGUGCUACCAAACGUCACAACGUAACUGGGUGAUUAUAAAGGUGCUCUACAAGUGUCUCCGAUGGUGCUUGUUGAGUUGGCAUAGAUCGAGAUUAGGAUUUGUCACUCCGAUUGUCGGAGAGGUAUCUCUGGGCCCUCUCGGUAAUGCACAUCACUAUAAGCCUUGCAAGCAAUGUGACUAAUGAGUUAGUUGCGGGAUGAUGCAUUACGGAACGAGUAAAGAGACUUGCCGGUAAUGAUAUUGAACUAGGUAUUGAGAUACUGACGACCGAAUCUCGGGCAAGUAACAUACCGAUGACAAAGGGAACAACGUAUGUUGUUAUGAGGUUUGACCUAUAAAGAUCUUCAUAGAAUAUGUAGGAACCAAUAUGAGCAUCCAGGUUCCGCUAUUGGUUAUUGACUGGAGACAUGUCUUGGUCAUGUCUACAUAGUUCUCGAACCCCUAGGGUCCGCACGCUUAAUGUUCGGUGACGAUCGGUAUUAUGAGUUUAUGUGAUUUGAUGUACCGAAGGUUGUUCAGAGUCCCGGAUGAUAUCACGAGCAUGUCGAGGAGUCUCGAAAUGGUCGAGACAUAAAGAUCGAUAUAUUGGAUGGCUAUAUUCGGACACCGAAAGUGUUCCGGGUGAUUCUGGAGAAAAUCGGAGUGCCGGAGGGUUACCGGAACCCCCCGGGGACUAAUGGGCCUUGAUGGGCCCUAGUGGAGAGAGAGAGGGGCCGGACAGGGCACGCAGCACGCCCCCUCCCCUUGAGUCCGAAUAGAAGGGAGGGCGCCCCCUUGCUUUCCCCCUCUCCCACUCCUUCCUUCCCCCUCCUAGUGGGACUAGGAAAGGGGAGUCCUACUCCCACUAGGAGGAGGACUCCUCCUCUUGGCGUGCCCUCAAGGGGCCGGCCGGCCUCCCCUCCUUGCUCCUUUAUAUACGGGGGCAGGGGGCACCCUACAACACAAAAGUUGAUCAUUGAUCUUUUAGCCGUGUGCGGUGCCCCCCUCCACCAUAAUCCACCUCGGUCAUAUCGUCGUAGUGCUUAGGCGAAGCCCUGCGCCGGUAGCUUCAUCAUUACCGUCAUCAUGCCGUCGUGCUGACGAAGCUCUCCCUCAAAUCUCUACUAGAUCGUGAGUUCGCGGGACGUCGCCGAGCUGAACAUGUGCAGAUCACGGAGGUGUCGUAUGUUCGGUACUAAGGAUCGGUCGAUCGUGAAGACGUACGACUACAUCAACCGCGUUAUCAUAACGCUUCCGCUUGCGGUCUACGAGGGUACAUGGAUGACACUCUCCCCUCUUGUUGCUAUGCAUCACCAUGAUCUUGCGUGUGUGUAGGAUUUCUUUUUGAAAUUACUAUGUUCCCCAACACUGCUAGCUAAUCCUUAUGCAGGAGAUGGAAGCGAACAUCCUAAUAUGCACUUGAUAUAUGUAGAACAAAUUUGUGGAUUGUUCAAGCUUGCAGGUUUACCCGGAGAUGAGGUGAUGAAAGGUUUUCCCUUUAUCUUUGAAGGGAAAAGCAUUGGCAUGGUAUAGGCUAUGCGAUGGUAUUGGAUCAUGGAAUUGGAAUCGUUUAAAAUUGGAGUUCCACCAAAAAAAUUAUCCUAUGCAUCUAGUUCAUCGUGAUCGGAAUUAUAUAUAUAAUUUUUGGCGAAGGAGAAAGUAUCGCUCAAGCUUGGGGGAGGCUUAAGUCAAUGUUAUAUUCAUGCCCCAAUCAUGAGCUCUCAAGAGAAAUUAUUAUUCAGAACUUUUAUGCUUGGCUUUCUCACAAUGAUCAAACCAUGCUGGACACUUCUUGUGCUGGUUCUUUUAUGAAGAAAACUAUUGAAUUCGAGUGGGAUCUUUUGGAAAGAAUUAAACGCAACUCUGAAGAUUGGGAACUCCAUGAAGGUAAAGAGUCAGGUAUAAAGCUUAAGUAUGAUUGUGUUAAACCUUUUAUGGAUACCGAUGCUUUUCAAAAGUUUAGCACUAGAUAUGGACUUGACUCUGAGAUAGUAGCUUCCUUUUGUGAAUCAUUUGCUACUCAUGUUGAACUCCCUAAAGAUAAGUGGUUUAAAUAUCACCCACCUAUUAAAGAUGAAAUUAAAAAACCAGUACCAGUUAAAGAAGAAACUAUACUCUAUAAUGUUGAUCCAGUUGUUCCUACUGCUUUUAUUGAGAAACCACCUUUUCCUAUAAGGAUAAAGGAACAUGCUAAAGUUUCAACUGUGGUUAACAAAAGCUAUGUUAGAACACCUAAACCAGAUGAACAAAUUAGGAUGGAACCUAAUGUUGCUAUGGUUAAAGACCUCUUAGAAGAAGAUAUAGAUGGGCAUGCUAUUUACUUAUGUGCAGAAGCUGCUAGAAUUGCUAAACCCGAUAAAAGGGAUAAACAUAGACUAGUUGUUGGCAUGCCUAUCAUUUCAGGUAAAAUAGGAGAUCACUAUAUCAUGGUUUGUGUGACAUGGGUGCUAGUGUGAGUGAUAUUCCUUACACUUUAUAUCAAGAAAUUAAGAAAGACAUAGCACCUGCAGAGAUAGAAGACAUAUAUGUUACUAUUAAACUUGCUAAUAGAGAUAUCAUAUCACCUUUUGGGAUUAUUAGAGAUGUUGAAGUCUUGUGUGGGAAAAUAUAAUACCCUACCGAUUUUCUUGUUCUUGAUUGCCCACAAGAUGACUUCUAUCCCAUUAUUUUUGGUAGACCUUUCUUGAACAAAGUUAAUGCUAAGAUAGAUUGUAAGAAACAAACUGUUGGUGUUAGUUUUGGUGAUGAGUCUCAUGAGUUUAGUUUUUCCAAGUUUAGUAGAAAUCAUCAUGCAAAAGAAUUGCCUAGUAAGGAUGAAUUAAUUGGUCUUGCUUCUAUUGUUGUGCCACCUACUGAUCCUUUAGAACAAUACUUGCUGGACCAUGAAAAUAAUUUACAUAUGCAUGAAAGAAAUGAAAUAGAUAAGAUUUUCUUUGAACAACGUCCUCUACUUAAACACAAUUUGCCUAUUCAAACUCUAGGAGGUCCUCCUCCACCUAAAGGUGAUCUUGUGUUUGAAUUAAAACAAUUGCCAGACACUUUGGAAUAUGCUUAUCUUGAUGAAAAGAAAAUAUAUCUUGUUAUUAUCAGUGCUAACCUUUCAGAACAUGAAGAAUAAAGAUUAUUGAAAGUUCUAAGGAAGCACCGAGCUGCUAUUGGAUAUACUCUUGAUGAUUAAAAGGGCACUAGUCCCACUCUAUAUUAGCACAAAAUUAAUAUGGAACCUGAUGCUAAACCAGUUGUUGAUCACCAAUGUUGGUUAAAUCUGAAGAUGAAAGAGGUGGUAAGAACGGAAAUAUUAAAACUUCUGGAAGCGGGUAUAAUCUAUCUUAUAGCUGUUAGUAGCUGGGUAAGUCAUGUUCAUUGUGUCCCUAAGAAAGGAGGUAUAACUGUUGUACCUAAUGAUAAGAAUGAACUUAUUCCACAAAGAAUUGUAACAGGCUAUAGAAUGGUAAUUGAUUUCAGAAAAGUAAACAAAGCUACUAGAAAAGAUCAUUACCCUUUGCCUUUUAUUGAUCAAAUGCUUAAAAGGUUAUCUAAGCACACACAUUUUUGCUUCCUUGAUGGAUAUUCUGGCUUUUCACAAAUACCUGUUUCUCAACCUGAUCAAGAAAAUACCACUUUUACUUGUCCUUUUGGAACCUAUGCUUAUAGACGUAUGCCCUUUGGUUUAUGCAAUGCACAUGCUACCUUUCAAAGAUGUAUGACUGCUAUAUUCUCUAACUUUUGUGAAAAGAUUGUUGAGGCUUUCAUGGAUGAAUUUUCUAUUUAUGGGAAGUCUUUUGAUGAUUGUUUAAGCAAUCUUGAUCAAGUUUUGCAGAGAUGUGAACAAACAAAUCUUGUCUUGAAUUGGGAGAAGUGCCACUUUAUGGUUAAUGAAGGCAUUGCCUUGGGUCAUAAAAGUUCUAAAAGUGGUAUUGAAGUGGACCAAGCUAAGGUUGAUGCAAUUGAGAAAAUGCCAUGUCCUAAGGACAUAAAGGGUAUUCGUAGUUUCCUAGGUCAUGCUAGUUUCUAUAGGAGGUUUAUUAAAGACUUCUCUAAAAUUUCUAGGCCUCUCACCAAUCUUUUGCAAAAGGAUAUUCCUUUUGUUUUUGAUGAUGAUUGUUUAGAAGCCUUUGAAACACUCAAGAAAGCCUUAAUUUCUACACCUAUUGUUCAGCCACUUGAUUGGAACUUGCCUUUUAAAAUUAUGUGUGAUGCUAGUGAUUAUGCUGUGGGUGUUGUUCUAGGACAAAUAGUUGAUAAGAAAUUGAAUGUUAUUCGUUAUGCUAGUAAAACUCUAUACAGUGCUCAAAGAAAUUAUGCUACUACUGAAAAAGAAUUCUUAUCAGUUGUGUUUGGUUGUGAUAAGUUUAGACCUUAUAUUGUUGAUUCCAACAAUAAUGCUUUUUGCAUCAUGUUUUCUUACUGUUCUAGGUCUAAGCUUGGGGGAGUUGAUGCAUCCAUUUUGCAUCAUGUUUUCUUACUGUUAUUUAUAAUGUUUUUAUCCAUAUUAAUGCUUUUUGGAGUAAUUCCAAUGCCUUUUCUCUCAUAAUUUGCAAGGUAUACACCAAGAGGGAGAACUCCGGCAGCUGGAAAUCUAGACCUAAAAAAGCUACGUCGGGCCACCUAUUCUGCACAACUCCAAACAAGCUGAAACUUCACGGAGAUUUUUUAUGGAAUAAAGAAAUAUUGGAGCCAAUAACUACGAGAGGGGGGCCACCAGGUGGGCACAACCCACCUGGGUGCGCCAGGCAGCCCAAGCGCGCCCUGGUGGGUUGUAGCCUCCUCGGCCCACCUCUGGUGUCCAUCUUAUGGUAUAUAAGUCAUUUUUACCUACAAAAAAUGAGGAGAAGUCUUUCGGGAUGGAGCACCGCCGUCUCGAGGCAGAACUUGGGCAGGACCACUUUUGCCCUCCGGUGGAGCAAUUUUGCCGGGGGAACUUCCCUCCCGGAGAGGGAAAUCAUUGUCAUCAUCAUCACCAACAACUCUCCCAUCUUGGGGAGGGCAAUAUCCAUCAACAUAUUCAGCACCAUCUCAUGUCAAACCCUGGUUCAUCUCUUGUAUUCAAUCUUGUUACCAGAACUAUAGAUUGGUGCUAGGGUGACUAGUAGUGUUGAUUACAUCUUGUAGUUGAUCACUAUAUGGUUUAUUUGGUGGAAGAUUAUAUGUUCAGAUCUAUGAUGCUAUUUAAUACUCCUCUGAUCAUGACCAUGUUUAUUAUUUGUGAGUAGUUACUUUUGUUCUUGAGGUCACGUGAUAAAUCAUGUUGCAAGUAAUUAUGUGAAUUUGAUAUGUGUUCGAUAUUUUGAUGGUAUGUAUGUUGUGAUUCCCUUAGUGAUGUCAUGUGAACGUCGACUACAUGAAACUUCACCAUAUUUGGGCCUAAGGGAAUGCAUUGUGGAGUAGUAAAUAGAUGGUGGGUUGCGAGAGUGACAGAAGCUUAAACCCCAGUUUAUGCGCUAUUCCGUAAGGGACCGAUUGGACCCAAAAGUUUAAUGCUAUGGUUAGUAUUCUUAAUACUUUUCUCGUAGUUGCGGAUGCAUGCGGGAGGGUUAAUCAUAAGUAGGAUGUUUGUUCAAGUAAGAACAACACCUAAUCACCAGUCCACCCACAUAUCAAAUUAUCAAAGUAGCGAACACAAUCAAACCAACAUGAUGAAAGUGACUAGAUGAAAUUCCCGUGUACCCUCAAGAACACUUUGCUUAUCAUAAGAGACCGUUUUGGCAUGUACUUUGCCUCAAAAAAUUGGGCCACCUUGCUGCAUACUUGUUACUAUUAUUGUUACUUGCUCGUUACAAAUUAUCUUGCUAUCAAACUACUCUGCUACUUACAAUUUCAGCACUUGCAGACAUUACCUUAAUGAAAACUAAUUGUCAUUUCCUUCUGCUCCUCGUUGGGUUCGACACUCUUACUUAUCGAAUAAAGCUACAAUUGAUCCCCUAUACUUGUGGGUCAUCAGCAGGAUCUAGACUGACCCCACAGAUCAAUACUAGUCUUUUCUGUGCACUUUGUCCUCAGUCGUGCGCACCCGGGAGCAACCUACUGGUCGAUCACCCAUCCUGAAAUUACUCCAAGCUGAGCAUGCUUAACUAUGGAGUUCUAUCCGAAUGGGCUUCCGGAAAAGAAGAAAUUCCUUAUUGAUAUGAGUAGUUGAUGUCUACUACACAACCUUCUUCUUGUAGACAUUGUUGGGCCUGCAAGUGCACAGGUUUGUAGGACAGUAGCAAAUUUCCCUCAAGUGGAUGACCUAAGGUUUAUCAAUCCGUAGGAGGCGUAGGAUGAAGAUGGUCUCUCUCAAACAACCCUGUAACCAAAUAUCAAAAAGUCUCUUGUGUCCCCAACACACCCAAUACAAUGGUAGAUUGUAUAGGUGCACUAGUUCGGCGAAGAGAUGGUAAUACAAGUGCAAUAUGGAUAGUAGAUAAAGGUUUUUGUAAUCUGAAAAAUAUAAAAAUAGCAAGGUAACUAAUGAUAAAAGUGAGUGUAAACGGUAUUGCAAUGAUAGGAAACAAGUCAUAGGGUUCAUACUUUCACUAGUGCAAGUUCUCUCAACAUUAAUAACAUAGAUAGAUCAUAUAACAAUCCCUCAACAUGCAACAAAGAGUCACUCCAAAGACACUAAUAGAGGAGAAUAAACAAAGAGAUUAUGGUAGGGUACGAAACCACCUCAAAGUUAUUCUUUGGGAUCGAUCUAUUCAAGAGUUCGUACUAGAAUAACACCUUAAGACACAAAUCAACCAAAAACCCUAAUGUCACCUAGAUACUCCAUUGUCACCUCAAGUAUCCGUGGGGAUGAUUAUACGAUAUGCAUCACACAAUCUUAGAUUCAUCUAUUCAACCAUCACAAAGUACUUCAAAGAGUGCCCCAAAGUUUCUACCGGAGAGUCAAGAAAACGUGUGCCAACCCCUAUGCAUAGGUUCAUGGGCGGAACCCGCAAGCUGGUCACCAAAACAUACAUCAAGUGGCACGUGAUAUCCCAUUGUCACCACAGAUAAACACGGCAAGACAUACAUCAAGUGUUCUCAAAUCAAAGACUCAAUCCGGUAAGAUAACUUCAAGAGGGAAACUCAAUUCAUCACAAGAGAGUAGAAGGGGGGGAAACAUCAUAAGAUCCAACUAUAAUAGCAAAGCUCGCGAUACAUCAAGAUCGUGCCAUAGAGAGAACACAAGAGAGAGAGAUCAAACACAUAGCUAUUGGUACAUACCCUCAGCCCCGAGGGUGAACUACUCCCUCCUCGUCAUGGAUAGCCCCAGGAUGAUGAAGAUGGCCACCGGUGAUAGGUUCCCCCUCCGGCAGGGUGCCAGAACGGGCUCCCGAGAGGUUUUUGGUGGCUACAGAGGCUUGCGGCGGUGGAACUCCCAAUCUAUCUUCUCCGUGGAUGUUUUUAGGGUACGUGGGACUAUAUAGGCGAAAGAAGUCGGUCGGGAGGUGCUCGAGGGGCCCACGAGACAGGGGGUGCGCCCAGUAGGGGGGCGCCCCUAUCUCCUGGCCUCCUCGAGGAUCUUUUGACGUGAACUCCAAGUCUCCAGGAUCAUAUUCUUCCAAAAAAUCACGCUGCCGAAGGUUUCAUUCCGUUUGGACUCCGUUUGAUAUUCCUUUUCUUCGAAAUAUUGAAACAAGCAAUAAAACAGCAAUAUGGGUUGGGCCUCCGGUUAAUAGGUUAGUCCCAAAAGUAAUAUAAAAGUGUAUAAUAAAGCCCAUAAUCAUUCAAAACAGAUAAUAAAAUAGCAUGAAUGCUUCAUAAAUUAUAGAUACGUUGGAGACGUAUCAUCAUCCCCGAGCUUAAUUCCUACUCGUCCCCGAGUAGGUAAAUGAUAAAAGAAAGAAUUUAUGAAGUGUGAAUGCUAGAAGGUGCACAAGUUUGAUCAUUCAUAAUUUCAAUCACCUUUUCUAGCAUGAUAAUAUGUCAUAACAAUAGUUCAUCUCAUAAAACUUCUCACGAUAAAGUAACAAGGAGUUCACAUGUCAAAGCAUAGACCAUAAACUUUCUUGAAAACUAGCAAACUUCAUUCUCAGUCAUCAAACAAUUGCAAUUCAUCUUAUUUUCAGGAAUAGCAAACUCCACAUACUCAACUAUCAUAUAGUCUUCUACAAUUGCUAACACUCACGCAAUACUAAUGGUUAUGGAGUUUCAAUCGGACACUGAGAAAGAUAGGGGCUUAUAGUGUUGUCUCCCAACGUAUUCACCUUUGGGUGAUGUCAACAAUAAUAGUUCAUGCUAACUUACAUUCAAUUGGAUAUAUAUAUCAGGAUCACCCCAACACAAAGUGCUUGCCAAAGGAUAAAAUGAAAAAGGGAAAGGUGAAGAUCACCUUGACUCUUGCAUAAAGUAAAAGAUAGGCCCUUCGGAGAGGGAAGUAGAGGUUGUCAUGCGCUUUUAGGGUUGGAUACACAAAAUCUUAAUGCGAAAGAAUGUCACUUUAUAUUUCCCCUUGUAUAUGGACCUUUAUUAUGCAGUCUAUCGCUUGUAUUGCUUCCAUAACAAGAUCGUACAAAGCUUAUUUUCUCCCCACUAAUAAGUCAUGCAUAUUUAGAGAGCAAUUUUUAUUGCUUGCACCGAUGACAACUUACUUGAAGGAUCUUACUCAAUCCAUAGGUAGGUAUGGUGGACUCUCAUGGCAAAACUGGGUUUAAGGAUGUUUGGAAGCACAAGUAGUAUCUCUACUUGGUGCAAGGAAUUCUGGCUAGCAUGAGGGGGAAAGGCAAGCUCAACAUGUUUGAAUGAUCCAUGACAAUAUACUUUAACUGAGAUGUCGGAAAACACAAACUAUUACGUUGUCUUCCUUGUCCAACAUCAACUCUUUAGCAUGUCAUACUUAAUGAGUGCUCCCAAUUAUAAAAGAUGUCUAGGAUAGUAUAUUUAUAUGUGAAAUCUCUCUUCCUUCAAUAUUCUUUCAUGAAUUGUUCAAAUGACCAAUACAAUGCUUGCUAACCUUCAAUAAAUUUACAACCUCUACUUCUUAGAUGUGAAGUCAUUACUCCCCAUGGGAUAAGAAAAUGAGGCAUAUAUAAUUUCAGAUUUAUGACAUUCAACUCAUUCAAACAUUUACCGGUAGGAUAUAAGUGAAGCACACGAGUAAAUGACAAACUACUCCAACAAGAUAUAAGUGAUGAUCAAUGAGUAGCUAAAUAAUUAUGUAACUAUGCAAAGACUCUCUCUCAUUAAAGAAUUUCAGAUCUUGGUAUUGUAUUCAAACAUCAAGCAAAACAAAAUAAAAUGACAUUGCAAGGAUAGCACAACUCAUGUGAAGAAGCAAAAACUUAGGCUCAACCGAUACUAACCGAUAGUUGUUGGAGAAGAAAGGCGGGAUGCCUACCGGGGCAUCCCCAAGCUUAGAUGCUUGAGACUUCUUGAAAUAUUAUAUUUGGGUGCCUUGGGCAUCCCCAAGCUUGAACUUUUGUGUCUCCUUAAUUCCUCUCAUAUCAUGGUUUCUCUAUUUAUCAAAAGCUUCAUUCACACCAAACUCAACAAGAACUCAUGAGAUAGGUUAGUAUAAACCAAUGCAAAACCUUAUCAUUUUCUACUGUAACAAAUCACUAAAAUUAUUAUUCAACAUUGAAUACUAAAUGCCUCUGCAUAUUUAAUACUCCUAUCCUGAAAUAGAAUCAUUAAACAAGCAAACAUAUGCAAACAGUGCAAACAUAACAGCAAUCUGCCAAAACAGUACAGUGUGUAAAGAAUGCAAGAGUAUCAAUACUUCCCUAACUCCAAAAAUUAUGAGGGAAAAUUACCACUAUAGUAAAUUUAUCAGAUCUAAAUAUGCAAAAAGUUUCAACAUUAUACCAUUCUCUGACUUUUCUAGGGAAUUUUUGCAACAGCGGUAAACUUUUUGUUUUCAAACAGCAACAUGUAUACUAGCAAAAUAAGCAUGGUAAAGGCUAUCCUCGAGAUUUUUAUUGAAAAUAAAGAUGCAAAAUAUUAUUCUAAAUAACAGCAAGCAAAUACUAACAAAAGAAAAUGACGCUCCAAGCAAAACACAUAUCAUGUGGUGAAUAAAAAUAUAGCUCCAAGUAAAGUUACCGAUGAACAAAGACGAAAGAGGGGAUGCCUUCCGGGGCAUCCCCAAGCUUAGGCUCUUGGUUGUCCUUGAAUAUUACCUUGGGGUGCUUUGGGCAUCCCCAAGCUUAGGCUCUUGGUUGUCCUUGAAUAUUACCUUGGGGUGCCUUGGGCAUCCCCAAGCUUAGGCUCUUACCACUCCUUAUUCCAUAGUCUAUCGAAUCUUUACCCAAAACUUGAAAACUCCACAACACAAAACUCAACAGAAAACUCGUAAGCUCCGUUAGUAUAAGAAAGUAAAACAACCACUUAGGUACUUUAAUGAACUCAUUCUUAAUUCAUAUUGGUGUAAUAUCUACUGUAUUCCAACUUAUCUAUGGUUCAUACCACUUAAUACUAGCCAUAGAUGCAUCAAAAUAAGCAAACAACACACAGAAAACGGAAUCUGUCAAAAGCAGAACAAUCUGUAGUAAUCUGUAUCAAACGUAUACUUAUGGAACUCCAAAAAAUCCUACCAAAUUAGUAAGUCCUAAGAAAUUUGUGUGCCAAUCCAGAUCAAAAAUAAUCAGACCAUACGCACGUUUCUGUGAAUUAACAAAACUAAUUUACUGGAUGCAAAAGUUUCUGAUUUUCAGCAGGAUCAACACAACUAUCACCGUAAGCUAUCCUAAAGGUCUUACUUGGCACUUUAUUUAGAUAAAAGCCAUAAAACAUGAUUACUACAGUAGCAUAAUCAUGUGGACACACAAAAGCAGUAAGGAUAAAUAUUGGGUUGUCUCCCAACAAGCGUUUUUCUUUAAUGCCUUUCUAGCUAGGCAUGACGAUGACAAUGAUGCUCAUAUAAAAGAUAAGAAUUAAACAUAACGGGAGCAUCAUGAAGCAUAUGACUAGCACAUUUAAGUCUAACACACUUCCUAUGCAUAGGGACUUUGUGAGCAAACAACUUAUGGGAACAAUAAUCAACUAGCAUAGGACGGCAAAACAAGCAUAACUUCAAGAUUUUCAACACAUAGAGAGGAAACUUGACAUUAUUGCAAUUCCUACAAGCAUAUAUUCCUCCCUCAUAAUAAUUUUUAGUAGAAUCAUGAAUGAAUUAAACAAUACAACCAUCACCUAAAGCAUUCUUUUCAUGAUCUACAAGCAUAGAAAAUUUACUACUCUCCACAUAAGCAAAAUUCUUCUCAUUCGGAAUAGUGGGAGUAUCAUAAGAGACUUGAACACUAAAAAUUAUUUCCACAUUAAAAGAGUAAUGUUCAGAAAAAGGGUAAUCAUAAUCAUGACAAUUUUUAUAAAUAUAAUCAUCACUACUUUUUAUAGCAUAAGUUUCAUCACAAUAAUCAUCAUAAGUAGCAACUUCGUUCUCAUCAUAAUCGAUUGAAACCUCUCCCAAUAUAGUGGAAUCAUCACUAAAUAAAGUUGACUCUAUUCCAAAUCCACUUUCAUAUUCAUCACAAUAAAAUUCAACAUCCUCCAAAAUAGUGGGAUCACUACUUCCUAAAGUUGACACUCUUCCCAACCCACUUUCAUCAAUAUAAUUAUCAUAGGUAGGAGGCAUGCUAUCAUCAUAACAACUUUGCAUAUCAAAACUUGGGAUGCUAAAAAUAUCAUCUUCAUUAAACGUAGCAUCCCCAAGCUUGGGACAAACAUUAAUUUCAGCAAAUAUAUUCUCAAAUAUGUCAUUCUCAUCAAACAUAGCUUCCCCAAGCUUGGGCCUUUUCAUAUCAUAAGCAUAAUCACUCUCAUCAUUAAUAGUAUGGAUAGCACCAAUAGUAUAACAAUUAUCAUCAUCACAAUGAGUAGUAGGAGCAACAUCAUUUGGAAGGGAUACCUUUUUACCUUUGUUGCCCCUUAUUUUCCUUUUAUUCUUCACAUUAUGUGUGGGUUCAACCUUCUUCUUUGAGCUCCUUAUAGAUGAGAUUGGUUGAAUAGAAAGCUCCUCCUCGUUACCUGAUUCAUCAUAAGAAAUAAUAGGAGGAGAUUGGGAAGUCUCUUCCCUUUCAUUAGUAUUCUCAUCAUCUUCUAUUUGCUUUCUUUUAUUUAGGUAAUUGGCAAUAUAAGGAUUUUCAAUGCAAUUCUCCGCACAAAACAUAUAAAUCUUUUCUAGAUCAAUAUCAAGGAAAUGCUCAAGAUUAAAUUCUGGAAUAGGCUUAGUUAAACGUUUCAACUCUUGAUAACCCAAAGCAAAUUAAGUUCAUUAUAAUGUGCAAGGGAGAUCAACUCAUCACAAUUUUUGGACACAAUUCGGUCUUGAAACAAUUUACAUUUGAGAUGUAAAUGACCACGUUCAUUGCAAAGUUCACAAGUACGGCAAAGGAAAUUUAAAUUUUCAGAACUCACAUCUAGCCUUUCUUGCAACCAUUUAGUUUCUAAAUGCUUAUGCGUCUUGCAAUAUAUAUCUUCUCUAUUUGGUGUGUUCAUGCAAACAUGCACUCCACAAAAGUUGACAUGCUUAUAGGAGAUAUUUUCAUCAUGACUAGAGCCAUCAUCAUUAGUACUAAGGAUAUUCAAGGAGUUCAUACUAACAACAUUGCAAUCAUGCUCAUGAUUCAAAGAUUCAGUACCAAGCAUUUUAAUGCACUCUUCUUCUAGCACUUGAGCACAAUUUUCCUUUCCAUCAUACUCACAAAAUAUAUUAAAAAGACGAAGCGUAUGAGACAAACUUAACUCCAUUUUUUGUAGUUUUCUUUUAUAAACUAAAUUAGUGAUAAAACAAGAAACAAAAAGAUUUGAUUGCAAGAUCUAAAGAUAUACCUUCAAGCACUCACCUCCCCGGCAAUGGCGCCAGAAAAGAGCUUAGUUGACGGGGUGUGAGUGCCGCUUACCUAGCCUCCCCGGUAAUGGCGCCAGAAAAGAGCUUGAUGUCUACUACACAACGUUCUUCUUGUAGACGUUGUUGGGCCUGCAAGUGCACAGGUUUGUAGGACAGUAGCAAAUUUCCCUCAAGUGGAUGACCUAAGGUUUAUCAAUCCGUAGGAGGCGUAGGAUGAAGAUGGUCUCUCUCAAACAACCCUGCAACCAAAUAACAAAAAGUCUCUUGUUUCCCCAACACACCGAAUAUAAUGGUAAAUUGUAAAGGUGCACUAGUUCGCCGAAGAGAUGGUGAUACAAGUGCAAUAUGGAUAGUAGAUAAAGGUUUUUGUAAUCUGGAAAUAUAAAAACAGCAAGGUAACUAAUGAUAAAAGUGAGUGUAAACAGUAUUGCAAUGAUAGGAAACAAGGCCUAGGGUUCAUACUUUCACUAGUGCAAGUUCUCUCAACAUUAAUAACAUAGAUAGAUCAUAUAACAAUCCCUCAACAUGCAACAAAGAGUCACUCCAAAGCCACUAAUAGCGGAGAACAAAUGAAGAGAUUAUGGUAGGGUACGAAACCACCUCAAAGUUAUUCUUUCGGAUCGAUCUAUUCAAGAGUUUGUACUAGAAUAACACCUUAAGACACAAAUCAACCAAAACCCUAAUGUCACCUAGAUACUCCAUUGUCACCUCAAGUAUCCGUGGGAAUGAUUAUACGAUUUGCAUCACACAAUCUCAGAUUCAUCUAUUCAACCAUCACAAAGUACUUUAAAGAGUGACCCAAAGUUUCUACCGGAGAGUCAAGAAAAUGUGUGCCAACCCCUAUGCAUAGGUUCAUGGGCGGAACCUGCAAGUUGGUCACCAAAACAUACAUCAAGUGGCACCUGAUAUCCCAUUGUCACCACAGAUAAACACGGCAAGACAUACAUCAAGUGUUCUCAAAUCAAAGACUCAAUCCGAUAAGAUAACUUCAAGAGGGAAACUCAAUUCAUCACAAGAGAGUAGAGGGGGGAGAAACAUCAUAAGAUCCAACUAUAAUAGCAAAGCUUGCGAUACAUCAAGAUCAUGCCAUAGAGAGAACACGAGAGAGAGAGAGAGAGAGAGAGAUCAAACACAUAGCUACUGGUACAUAUCCUCAGCCCCGAGGGUGAACUACUCCCUCCUCGUCAUGGAUAGCGCCGGGAUGAUGAAGAUGGCCACCGGUGAUGGGUUCCCCCUCCGGCAGGGUGCCGGAACGGGCUCCCGAGAGGUUUUUGGUGGCUACAGAGGCUUGCGGUGGCGGAACUCCCAAUCUAUCUUCUCCGUGGAUGUUUUUAGGGUACGUGGGACUAUAUAGGCAAAAGAAGUCGGUCGGGAGGUGCUCGAGGGGCCCACGAAACAGGGGGCGCGCCCUCCUAUAUCCUGGCCUCCUCGAGGAUCUUCUCACGUGAACUCCAAGUCUCUAGGAUCAUAUUCUUCAAAAAAAUCACGCUGCCGAAGGUUUCAUUCCGUUUGGACUCCGUUUGAUAUUCUUUUUCUUCAAAAUACUGAAACAGGCAAUAAAACAACAAUAUGGGCUAGGCCUCCGGUUAAUAGGUUAGUCCCAAAAGUAAUAUAAAAGUGUAUAAUAAAACCCAUAAUCAUUCAAAACAUAUAAUAAAAUAUCAUGAAUGCUUCAUAAAUUAUAGAUACAUUGGAAUAGUAGUCUAUCAUCCCUAUUAAGCCAGGCUAUCACAUACACCCUCACUCAGAGAAACCGACGUCCUCGUUGGGCCACAGGAACGUUCCGUCUUGGCACAAACGUCUGUGCUUCCAGUCCGGCACAUGUGCCAUGCCAUGUGCCACGACGGGUCACAAAUGCCAUGCACAACAUGUCCGCGCACCUGUCCGCAAACAUCCGUAUAACCGCGAGGGUCGGCUCUGAUAUCAACUUGUAACACCCCGGACACACCCGCCGGUGGUCGUUACUCCUGGCGGGAUCUAGACUGGCCCCACAGAUCAAUACUAGUCUUUUCUGCGUACUUUGUCCUCACUCGUGCGCACCAGGGAGUAACUUCCCGGUCGGUCACUCAUCCUGAAAUUACUCCAAGCUAAGCACGCUUAACUUUGGAGUUCUGUCCGAAUGGGCUUCCGGAAAAGAAGGAAUUCCUUAUUGAUAUGAGUAGUCUAUCAUCCCUAUUAAGCCAGACUAUCACAAUAGUUUACCACCUCGGUCAUAUUGUCGUAGUGAUUAGGCGAAGCCUUGCGUGGAUCACAUCACCAAGACCGUCGCCACGCCGUCGUGCUGACGGAACUUUCCCUCGACCCUCUACUGGAUCAAGAGCUCGAGGGACGUCAUCGUGCUGAACUUAUGCUGAACACGGAGGUGCCAUACGUUCGAUACUUGGAUCGGUUGGAUCAUGAAGACGUUCGACUAUAUCAAUCGUGUUAACUAACGCUUCCGCUUUCAGUCUACGAGGGUACAUGGACACACUCUCCCCGCUUGUUGCUAUACUUCUCCUAGAUAGAUAUUGCGUGAUUGUAGGAAAAAAAUUCUAUGUUCCCCAACAAGUACAACAUAUAUACUUUGAAACAAAUGUUAGUAAAUUAUUUUAAAAAUGAUAAAAAUUUAUGAGAAAUAUCCAUAUAAAAAAAUGUAUAUUGUGCGUGAAAAAAUGUAGACGCAUGUUGAAAAAAAUAAAAAGGAAAAAACUAAAAAAAAACUGAUAAAAACUGGAUAGAGAAUGAAAACCUAGAAAACCGACAAAAGUACAAAGAAACCAAAAUAUAAAGAAAAAAUAAAAACAAAAAAAGAAGACAAAAAACAAAUGGAAAACAAAAAGAAAAUGCACUGAUACCUGCUCCCAGGAACCCCUAUUGGGCCGGCCCAUCCUUAUGUACCGCUUUAGGCGAGACAUAGCUCUCGCGGCUAGCAGACCCAAAACCCAACGUCUGCCUUGGAUCCCGCCUAAGGGGUUGGUUUUAAGAAAUUUUGAUGGUGCAGUUUUAAGAAAUGAUGGAAGGACCUGUUGCGGCUAUUUGCCGAGACCAAAGCGGCCUCUAUCUUGGCUCAUGUUUUGUUGCAUUUAGUGGCAUAAUAGAUGCACGACUCUAAAGACCUAGCGUGACGGUAAGCUCAAGAGCAAGACCUUGUCUAUGAUGUACUAGUCAGACGGAUCCUAAUAGCAUUGGAUUGUGCCACAAUUGUAAAGGAUAUCUCGGAUAAAGUGGGUGGACAUCAUGGAGCCAUAGUCAAUCAAUGCUUGUGUAAUUUCAACGAAUGCAACUUCACCUAUAAUAGUCGAGGUAGCAAUCAUGAAGUUGAAGUUUAACCAAAUGUUGUCUAGAUUUAAAUUUUGGACGUCAUGUUCGGCUUGUUGUGCCACAUGAUCACGUAACAACUUCUCUGAACAUCGUUGAUCACUAAAAUGCAGCGAAGUUCUCUAAAAAAACUAGUACUAUUUGUAGCAAAAAAAUUAUACUUUCUGUGUUUUUCCAUCAAAAAUGGACAAUGGUUUUUCAGCUCCCGGGUGCCCCUAGACCCUCUAUGAACUGUAAGUUAAAGAAAACAGAAAAUAAAUUCAAAAAAUCUGAAAUUUUGCAACAUCAACUAUGCUCAAACUUUGUAGGUGUUUACAAAUUUUCAUAACAAAAUAUCAUGUUGAGCUCUUCGAAUAUCACAAGUUUGAGAUUUCGGUGCUAAAAGUGCUAAGGCUGCAUACAGUAUGCCUCUGGAUUUUACGUAUAUUCUAUCUUUGAUCUUCUGUUUUACUCCCUUCCUUUCUAAAUAUAAGGCUUUUUAGAUAUUUCAAUACGGAGUACAUACGGUUGUAUUUAGACAUAUUUUCAAGUGUAGAUUCAUUCAUUUUGCUCCGUAUGUAGUUCGUAUUGGAAUCUAUAAAAUGGCUUAUAUUUAGAAACGGAGGGAGUAGGAAACAAGACACAAGGACUUCGGAGUCUCACCAUGUGGUAACCGUUGUCCUGAUCGUUGGUCCUAUAUUUGCAGGUAUGUAGAUGAGUGUAGUCGCCCUUAUAUUAUUUUUUUUUGAAAAGGGAAAUAUAUUAAUAUCGCGAUGAUACCAAUUACACACAGCCUCUGCACGUAUAAGAUGUUGUUAAGACAUCUAGAAUGCACACGGCCAAAAGAGAAAAUAAAAAGAAAGGAAAAAACAAAAGUCCCGCCACAGCACUCAACUCCUUUGAAUAGCAGCACUCAACUCCUUUGAAUAGCAGCACUCAUACCACCCCCAAAUACAACACCCGGAAAACAUAAAAGGUCUCCAAAAGCAACACCUCCAAGAAGGGAAUGGUGCACAAGCGCCAUCGUUGCCCGAUCCAAGAUCUUAGGUUUUCAGCCUGGAGAAAGUCCGCGCUCUCAAAACAAUUCCUUCAGCAAGGCAGUCGCCAGGCACAACCAAUAAAGGUCAGACCUUAAGUUUUCACCCUGAAAGUCACGACUCGAUGCCCAAGGGGUACCACCAAAGAUGAAAUCCACAAAUGUUGCCGCCCCACUUAUCACUGCUACUCCUGAGAGUCAUCUAACACCUGGCUGACUCCAUCGCCUCCACAACUCCGUCCGUGUAACUGAUCCUCCGACCUCGGCCACCAUGACCUUAUCCACUGUUGUCUCCAUCAUGAAAAUCGAGAAGCCGACAUGUCCUAAGGUGUCAUCGGUCAACAGAGCUUUAGAACCUCGUAGGUUGGUAUGGACGUGCACGACCAACAACUAAUCAAUCCAGAUAUCCUUAGCAAAUUCUCCGGCGGCCGUUCCAGAACACGCCGAUGGCCAGAUAAAAAGGGCCGAUCAAGCAGGACAUUGCCUUGACGCGAGAAGAGCACGAGGACCACAACUGGGACUAGAUGAUAGAUCGCGAGAUCCGCCAGACCAGCCACAACCGGCCGACCGCCUCCGGUGGAGGAGGAGAUCGCCACCGCCAUAAUCCUCGUGAUGCAUGGCAGAAUCGGAAAACCUCCGCGAACCGUAGCCGCAGCCGACGAGAGGAAGCAGUUUGGCGCGAUGGCAGCAGCCUGCUUUUGUCAGGUUCCGACGAUGGACCAUCACCAGCACUCUAGAUCGAGCCCACGACCGCCGCCUCCUACCAUCCCCGCCGACUGCAGCAGGCCCACCGAUGCGCCUCGGCCGCUGCUGCCCGCCAUCACCGCCGCAGGGGACCAAGAUCGGGCCGCCGCCACCUCAGAUCCGAGAUGCAGAGGAGGUCCACCGCCGCCACGCCACAGGGCCUUUGCCCGGCGAUGGCGGAGGGAGGGGAGGCGCAGGAGGUCGAGGGGAAGCCCGGUGAUGGCCGCCCGGUGCGGGCUGGCGGUGGCCGCAUAGGGUCGGGAGAGUCGCCCUUAUAUACCAUAAUGAUACACAGCAUAGUCAAACUUGAAGUUGUGGCUACUUCUAAACAGAUUAUCUCGUCCAGGACCGAUCAUUUUAUCCCUCCAUGAUGCAAGUGAUAUAUUCCUCGAGAUCAGGAAGAUGGCCAAGUACAGUGGCUGUGAGUGGCUAGCUGUUGUAGCAUUUCUACUUUUUGUGGCUUCCUGGAUCCUUCUUCGGCUUUUUCAGUUUGCAUGUGGUGCUACUUUACUUGAUUAGAAAGCAGCAUUACUUUACUAAGUUUUGUAGUGCAUUCUGUUGAUCAAUUCAGUGAUCUUGAGUCUUUUUCAGUUAUGAAAUAGCUAUGAUUCAGGACAAGGAGAACAAAAAAUCUACAGAACCUCAUACUACUAUAUUUUCAACGCACUCUUGUUUUCACUUCUGGUCUUUCACAUAUAUUGGUGGGUACUGAUUUACCGGAUGGUUGUCAAACAAAUUCAGUCCGGAGGUCAUGUUGGUGAGUGUGUUUGAUCCGGUCAGUGAUUCUUUUCUUGCUUAUUUCCUUGGUGUUAGAUUUAUUUUAUUUCUCAGCAACAUACUCUUAUGGAUUUAUUAUAAGCUACCCCUAAUUCUGAACGCAAAAACAACCAUGAAGAUUAAGCUGAAGGUUGUUGCAUGCUUAACUGAAGAACUGUAUAGUUCGCAGUUGGGAAUGAGAAUGGUGCAAGCGGGUUGUAUAAAGAAUGAGAAUGCUGCCGCCCCCUCCGCCGCCGUGGUGACUCCGGCCUCGGGUGCCGUCGCCGCCUCCGAGGGUCCCCCGUGCUUCAACUGCGGCGUGCCAGGCCACUUUCAGGUGGCUUGCCCCAACCCACCGACUUGUUACCUCUACAAGGAGGCCGGGCACCCCGCGGUUCUCUGUCCGGUGCGCCCGGUCACGGAGGAGAUCAUGAUGUUCGGCCACGGCAUCGAGGACAUGGGCUUCUUCCACAUCGAGGUGCCGGAGCUCCCGCCUCCCUCCCCCUCGCUCCUGGCCCUUGUGACGGUCGUGGGGGAGGGUGUCGCCACUCCGGCUCUGAUUGAGGCCGAGCUCAACCACCUCUGCCGAUGCAAGUGGGAUUGGCAAGUGACCUCCACCGCGCCCAACGCCUUCUCGGUGAUCUUCCCCGACGCCAUGAGCAUGGGCUUCUGCACCCGCAGCGACAACAUCACCUUGGCCCUCAACGGGACUAUGGUGAACAUCUCCGAGCCGAGGUGGGAUCCCAAGGUCGUGGCGGUCCUGGACACUGCUUGGCUCCUCAUCGCCGGCCUCCCUGACGUGGCCCGGUCUGAGCGGGUCAUUCGCAGUAUGUCCAAGAUCCUGGGCAAGGUGGUGGUGGUCGACGAGCUCUCUCUGCGCAAGGAGGAGGAGGUCUGGGUCAAGGUGAAAUGCCUCGACGCCUCCAAGCUCCACACCACGCUUCGAGUCUUCUUCAACGACGACGGCUACGACCUCACCAUCUGCCCCGAGCCGCUGAACCAUAUCAGCCGCCCCUGCCUCUCCGCUGACAGCCUCCAGGGGGGCGGGCCCGAGGAUGCCAAUGGCUCCCAUCACCGUCGCCCCCGCCACUCCCGCUNNNNNNNNNNNNNNNNNNNNNNNNNNNNNNNNNNNNNNNNNNNNNNNNNNNNNNNNNNNNNNNNNNNNNNNNNNNNNNNNNNNNNNNNNNNNNNNNNNNNNNNNNNNNNNNNNNNNNNNNNNNNNNNNNNNNNNNNNNNNNNNNNNNNNNNNNNNNNNNNNNNNNNNNNNNNNNNNNNNNNNNNNNNNNNNNNNNNNNNNNNNNNNNNNNNNNNNNNNNNNNNNNNNNNNNNNNNNNNNNNNNNNNNNNNNNNNNNUGGAGUCGGUCAGUGAUAUCUCGAGUGUGGGUCUGCUCGUCGUGCCCCCGUCUUCGCCCCGCUCUCCGUCCGCCGACUCCGCUCGCCGCCCCUCUCUGUUGGGCCCGGAACCUCCGUCCCCCCUGGCUCCGACCCCCCUGGUCCUCAUGGGUGGUGACGGCGUUACCCCACCCCUCGGAGAGCCCUCUCCGGUGCCCCCGCCCGCGGGGGAAGCGUCGGGCAACACCCUGGAGCUUGUCCCCCCGCUCCCCCCGCUAGUGGCCUCCGACGCCCACCCCACCUCCCCGGCCUCCCCGGCUUCGGCAGUGGCCGUGGUCGUCACCACGCCAGGCUCCGCGGUCCCUCCUCCGACGGUGGCGUACGCCAGGCGGCCCCUCUCCUCCUCGACGCCGGUGACUGCGUCUCGCCGCAGCGCCUGCCUCGAUGCGGCUCGCCCGGCCGACGCCUCGAUCCCGUCCAUCACUGAGCAGGCUGAGAUCCGGGCGGCUGCCCGGAACCUCGAGUCUGGUGUGGAUCCCGCCCUUCCCAGUUCUUCCUGUUGUUCCUUUUCCGCGCUUGAGGUCGUCCCUCUUCGACACCUAGCCAAGGUGGCCACUGACUCGGCCAUCGUCUUCAGGGGGGAAGUGGGUCCCCCUUUAGAACAGAUCGUGGCCAUUAGGGCUCGCGAGAUCCUUGAUGGCAAGUUGGCUGAGACUCGAGCUCGCCUACGUAGGACCCCUGAGGAGCAGACUGCACGUAGUGCUGGUCAGCCCCCUCUGGUGGUCGACGGGACCAUUCGUGGGCGCACUCGGUCCCGCACCGCUGCUCUCCGCUCCCAAAGCGCAUCUCAUGUUCUGGGGUCAAGCAGCCCUCCGAUGGGGGUUUAGAUGCGGGCCCUUUUUUGGAACAUCUACGGCUUCGGCCAUGAUGACCGUCGCCGCCAACUCGUCGAGUACGUGCGCGAUGAACACAUUGACAUCAUUGCGAUCCAGGAAACCAUGCGUACUGAGUUCUCCCUUCAUGAGCUUGAUUGCCUCAGCUCCCACCUUUUCGCCUGGCACUGGCUCCCUUCUAGUGGGGCCAUAGGCCACUCCGGUGGCAUCCUCUUAGGGGUUAAGGAUGCCACCUUCGAAGUGGGCGGCAUGGAUCGGGGCGAAUUCUUUGUUAGUAUGAAGAUCUUUGAGCGGGCCCUGAACUUCAAAUGGGAGGUCGUGAUUGUUUAUGGUCCGGCGGAUCACCGUCGUUCCCCGACCUUCCUUGCGGAGCUCCACCAAAAGAUCUCCGCCUCCCUCCUCCCAGUAGUUGUGGGCGGAGAUUUUAACCUCAUCCGUUCGCCGGAUGAGAAGAAUAAUGAUAGGAUUAACCUUCCCCGGAUGCAGUUGUUCAACGACUGGAUCGCGGAGCUCGGCCUUCGAGAGAUCGAGAGAACAGGGGCGAGAUUUACCUGGACUAACCGCUAGGCCGACCCGACACGAUCUGUGCUGGAUCGUGUCCUAGUUUCCCCGAAAUGGGAAUUGAGGUGCCCCCUGACCUCGCUGCGGGCGAUUACCCGCAUUGGGUCGGACCACGUCCCUCUCCUCCUAUCCUCUGCGGACGAGCGCCCCACCUGCCCGCCGCGGUUUAGGUUUGAGUCCUUUUGGCUCAAUCAGGCUGGCUUUCGGGAUGCGGUCUCGGCUCGUUGGACGCUUGCUCGCGCCUCCCCCCAUCGCUCCAUGUCCGCCGUCGACUCGUGGCACUUCUGCGCCAAGCUUGCCCGCCAAUUCAUGAAGGGCUGGGAUGCCAAUCUUGGUCGUGACCUCCGCGAGCGUAAAAGAUCUCUCCUGCUGGCUAUCCAAGCCCUGGAUGCUCGGGCUGAUUCUUCUGGGCUUUCUCCGGAUGAGUGGAUGCUGAGAUAUGAUCUUGAGGAUCAGCUAUCCUCCAUCUACACCGAUGAGGAGGCAUACUGGAGGGUGUGUGGUACCCAGCGAUGGGUGCUCCGCGGCGAUGCGAACACUACUUAUUUCCAGGCAGUUGCGAAUGGCCGACGCCGUAGAAACUCCAUCCACUGCUUAUGGGAGGAUGACGUCCCCCUUGUCCGCCCCCCGGCCAUUCGGGCUCAUGUAGACGGCUUCUACAAAGCCCUCUUUACCCCCACCCCUCGGGGUGGGGCUAGUCUCGCCCCCGACACUUGGGCGGGGGCACAGUUGGUCUCCGACGAGGCCAACACGGCCCUUGUUGCCCCCUUCGCCGAAGACGAGGUCCUUGCGGCCAUUAAAGGAAUGAACCCCUCCUUGGCCCCGGGUCCGGAUGGCCUGCCUGUUGUGUUCUUUAAAACAUUCUGGCAAACAGUCAAACCGGAGGUCAUGGCCUUAUUCGAGGAGUUCUAUUCGGGCUCUAUGGACCUGGGACGCCUCAACUAUGGGAUCAUUACCCUCAUCCCAAAGGUCCCGGGCGCCUCUGAUAUUCGCCAGUUCCGUCCCAUCACCGUGAUUAACGUGAUAUUCCGGAUCCUGGCCAAAGGAUACGCCAAUAGGGUGACCCUGCUUGCUAACUCGAUCACUCAUCCGAACCAAUCGGCCUUCAUCCAAGGCCGAUUUAUUCUAGAUGGCGUGUUGGUCUUCCAUGAAGUCCUUCACGAAGUUCGGGUGAAACAUCAUCAUGUUGUCUUACUGAAGCUUGACUUUCAUAAAGCCUAUGAUACUGUACACUGGCCUUUCCUUCGGGAAGUGCUGCUGCGUAAGGGCUUUGACGACCGCUGGGUGACUCGCGUGAUGCAAUUAGUCUCCUGUGGGCGGACUGAGGUGAACAUCAACGGCGAGAUUGGGCCAUACUUCCCCACUCUUUGUGGGGUUCGUCAGGGUGACCCAUUCUCGCCGUUCCUGUUCAACAUGGAGGUUGAUGCUCUGGCCUCCAUCCUGGAUAAGGCUAAGGGUGUCGGCCAUAUCCAUGGCAUUGUCCCCCACCUAGUCGGAGGGGGAGGGGUCUCCCUCCUUCAAUACGCGGAUGACACAUAAUAAUGGUGGAAGGUUCUACUCAGGACGUGGCUAACCUGAAGUUCCUCCUCCUGUGCUUCCAGCAGAUGUCGGGCCUAACGAUCAACUUUGAUAAGAGCGAAGUGAUGGCUCUAGGCUACCCUCCGGUGGAAGCUCAGGCUAUUGCUGACCGCCUGAACUGUCGGCUGGGGUCUUUCCCCACGACCUACCUGGGGAUCCCCGUUAGUGAUUCGCGCCUCACCGUGGCAGACCUCCGCCCUACGGUGACCCGCUUGCAGCACCGCGUCGAGCCUUGGAAAGGGCGUUGGCUAUCGAAGGUUGCGCGUGUGAUUCUCAUCAACUCCUCACUCGCCAGCCUUCUUUGGUUCCUCAUGAGCUUUUAUAGCCUCCAUGAAACGCUGCACACGGAAAUUGCCAAGUACCAAUCCAGGUUCUAUUGGGCUGGCGACGAUGACAAACAGAAGUACCACAUGGUCAGUUGGCCGGACAUUUGUAAACCCAAAGACCAGGGGGGUCUUGGGAUUCUGUCCUCCCGCCGCAUGAACAUCGCCCUCUUGACCCGGUGGUUAUGGCGUAUUGCUAAUGGGGACGGAGGGUUGUGGCUCACCAUUAUCCGCAACAAAUACCUCCGUGGACAGCCUCUGGCUUUCUGUCAGUGUUCGGGCGAAUCACAGUUUUGGCAGGCCGUCGUUCAGCUGCUUCCUGUGCUUCGCAUUGGCACGUCCAUCUCGGUUGGUACUGGGUCCACGACCCUGUUCUGGUUCGAUCGGUGGAUCGGCGACACCCCUCUGGCCGCCCGCUUUCCCGAUCUCUUUGCCAUUGCAGUUGACCCUUGGGUCUCUGUUGAGACGGCCCUUAUUGACUUAGGGCGCCUCGCGUUUCGUCGCUCUUUUGGCCCUCCCGAAGUAGCCGCCUGGGAUGCCCUUCUCCAGGACAUCGCCCUUCUCCCGAUGAGCGUCACCGACGCCCCGGACGCCAUCUCGUGGCACCUAGAGUCUUCCGGACGCUUCUCUACUAGGUCCCUGUACGCGGCCAUCGCGCCUUCGCCCGCCCCCGAGCCCUUCGGUUUGAUCUGGGAUAUUCGCUUGCCACUGAAGAUUAGGAUCUUCCUUUGGCAAUGGAUCCGUGGUCGCCUCCCUUCUGGAGUCGAAGUCCUCAAGCGUAACGGACCCGGAGAUGGGCUUUGCCCUCUGUGCGGCACGGUGGAGGAUGCUAACCACAUCUUCUUCACGUGCCCCACGGCCCAGUUUCUUUGGUCCAGUUUCCGCGAGACGGUUGGUGGACAGUGGUGCAACUCCAACUUUCCUGACCUUCUCACGGAGAUCCAUGCCUCCCCCCCUCGCUACCGACAUAUUCGUUGGCUCUGCGUUGGGGUCCUCGCCUGGACGCUGUGGACCGUCCGCAAUAAGCUUGUCAUCCAAAAGGUCCCUCUUCGACGUGCUACUGACGCCAUUUUUAAAAUGUGUGGGUACAUGCAGCUUUGGCGGCCGCUUAGCCGCCCUCAGGAUCGGGACGUCAUCAACUCCCUCCUCGCCGACCUUCNNNNNNNNNNNNNNNNNNNNNNNNNNNNNNNNNNNNNNNNNNNNNNNNNNNNNNNNNNNNNNNNNNNNNNNNNNNNNNNNNNNNNNNNNNNNNNNNNNNNNNNNNNNNNNNNNNNNNNNNNNNNNNNNNNNNNNNNNNNNNNNNNNNNNNNNNNNNNNNNNNNNNNNNNNNNNNNNNNNNNNNNNNNNNNNNNNNNNNNNNNNNNNNNNNNNNNNNNNNNNNNNNNNNNNNNNNNNNNNNNNNNNNNNNNNNNNNNNNNNNNNNNNNNNNNNNNNNNNNNNNNNNNNNNNNNNNNNNNNNNNNNNNNNNNNNNNNNNNNNNNGACUAGUUGAUGUCGUUCAUUUCUGUUCUAGGGCUUGUUGAGAUGUGUCCUCAGCAUUAACCCUUUUGAAUCAUGUGUGUGUUCUUGGUGUGUGUUUGCGUGUGUGUGAACCUUUGUGAAUUGUUGGCUUGGGCAUUUGCUUUAUAAUAUAAAGCGGGGCGAAAGCCUUUUUCAGUAAGGAGGAGCUAGUUAGCAUAUCCAUUAGGAGGAAAUUGAGGCACAAAACGAAAACUGAAAAGGCUCGAAUCUCGGUGCCACUGGAACAAGCCUCCUUGAUGUAUCUUUUUUGUAAAUUGGGUGUAUGAGGUGAUGCUAUCAUUCAGGGUCUUGAGGCAUCAAUCAUACAUCGUGAUAUUAAUCUCCAUAUGUAUGUGAAGAUGUUUUUUAAGAAAUACCGAGCCUUCAAGUUAUAAAAACUCUUUUUUAUAUAUGUGGCUUGAUUGUAAUUUAGUGGUCAUAUUCUCAAAUAUAAAAA
This 41292-nucleotide long non-coding RNA is filed under the name Triticum aestivum (bread wheat). Its description in RNAcentral is "long non-coding RNA (TAES_LNC007271)". The record is from RNAcentral. Lineage: Eukaryota; Viridiplantae; Streptophyta; Magnoliopsida; Poales; Poaceae.